Molecule: ribosomal RNA, 1000 nt
Filed under: uncultured organism
Description: bacterial SSU rRNA
Rfam family: Bacterial small subunit ribosomal RNA
Source: RNAcentral
GGGGGAUAUUGCGCAAUGGGGGCAACCCUGACGCAGCAACGCCGCGUGAAGGAUGAAGGUUUUCGGAUUGUAAACUUCUUUUAUUAAGGACGAAAAAUGACGGUACUUAAUGAAUAAGCUCCGGCUAACUACGUGCCAGCAGCCGCGGUAAUACGUAGGGAGCAAGCGUUGUCCGGAUUUACUGGGUGUAAAGGGUGCGUAGGCGGCUUUGCAAGUCAGAUGUGAAAUCUAUGGGCUCAACCCAUAAACUGCAUUUGAAACUGUAGAGCUUGAGUGAAGUAGAGGCAGGCGGAAUUCCCCGUGUAGCGGUGAAAUGCGUAGAGAUGGGGAGGAACACCAGUGGCGAAGGCGGCCUGCUGGGCUUUAACUGACGCUGAGGCACGAAAGCGUGGGUAGCAAACAGGAUUAGAUACCCUGGUAGUCCACGCUGUAAACGAUGAUUACUAGGUGUGGGGGGUCUGACCCCUUCCGUGCCGGAGUUAACACAAUAAGUAAUCCACCUGGGGAGUACGGCCGCAAGGUUGAAACUCAAAGGAAUUGACGGGGGCCCGCACAAGCAGUGGAGUAUGUGGUUUAAUUCGAAGCAACGCGAAGAACCUUACCAGGUCUCGACAUCCAACUAACGAAGUAGAGAUACAUUAGGUGCCCUUCGGGGAAAGUUGAGACAGGUGGUGCAUGGUUGUCGUCAGCUCGUGUCGUGAGAUGUUGGGUUAAGUCCCGCAACGAGCGCAACCCUUGCUAUUAGUUGCUACGCAAGAGCACUCUAAUAGGACUGCCGUUGACAAAACGGAGGAAGGUGGGGACGACGUCAAAUCAUCAUGCCCCUUAUGACCUGGGCUACACACGUACUACAAUGGAUGUUAACAGAGGGAAGCAAGACAGCGAUGUGGAGCAAACCCCUAAAAACAUUCUCAGUUCAGAUUGCAGGCUGCAACCCGCCUGCAUGAAGAUGGAAUUGCUAGUAAUCGUGGAUCAGCAUGCCGCGGUGAAUACGUUCCCG